Molecule: non-coding RNA, 800 nt
Organism: Xyrichtys novacula (pearly razorfish)
Lineage: Eukaryota; Metazoa; Chordata; Actinopteri; Labriformes; Labridae
Source: the annotation of a GenBank genome assembly
CAUUUCUUCAUGGAAAUAAAAUCAGACCGAGACGCUAAGACAGAAGAACUACUGCGUCUGUAAAAUGAUUAAUAUGGUGAUUAUUACUUCAAGGAAAUGAUAAAGAAAUGAUCAUAAAUGUUCUUCCUUGAGCUGCGGCACCCCGCUGUAGUCCGUAAUGGACUGGCCUGAGGUCUCUCUACAAACAAGCGUCUGCUGGAAGAGAGUAGGUGAGUUGUGUUUAGUCUCUUUGCUAAAGAAAUGAGUCAAAGUUAGAAAGAUGUUUGGUGUCUAGUACUAUGUCUGUGACCCUAUAUGUACUAACCUCAGUAGAUCAUGGUGUAGUUCCGUUCAGUAACAGAACCUCAUUGGAAAAUUAGCUGAUUUAACUUUACUGUGCUCUUGUUCAAAUAUAUUAACUCGACAGCACAUAAAUCCAUACCUGUUAACAAAAUCAUGAUUUUAUUGAUAAUUCGGCUCAAUAAAAACACCUUUACCUUUUCAUUUUACUACAGUAGAAGUUUAUUAGCCCAGCUUAUAGACUACAGAAGUGGAGAAACGCCCCCGCUUAAGUUUGUUUUCUUAGGAGUUAGAACAACUCUGAAUAUAGUACUAUGGCUGUGACCCUAUAUGUCCUGUUGAUGAAGUUAGGUGCUGUUCUGAGCAUUAUUUGUGGCUAUAGAGUGGCGUUUUGGUUGGGGGCGUGGCUCUCUGUAUUUCUAUCCUGCGGUCGUUACUAAAGUUGGUAUAACUAGAGAAGCAAGCGGUCGACAACAUUCAUCUCUGGAGGGGGGGUCUAACUCGGUGUUACGGUGGGUUUG